UAACUAUCCCAGUUUUCGUUUCGGGCGU
This 28-nucleotide non-coding RNA is filed under the name Bombyx mori (domestic silkworm). The record is from RNAcentral. Lineage: Eukaryota; Metazoa; Arthropoda; Insecta; Lepidoptera; Bombycidae.